Molecule: ribosomal RNA, 484 nt
Filed under: uncultured bacterium
Lineage: Bacteria
Description: partial 16S ribosomal RNA
Rfam family: Bacterial small subunit ribosomal RNA
Source: RNAcentral
AUUGAACGCUGGCGGCAGGCCUAACACAUGCAAGUCGAGCGGAUGAAGGGAGCUUGCUCCUGUAUUCAGCGGCGGACGGGUGAGUAAUGCCUAGGAAUCUGCCUGGUCGUGGGGGAUAACGUCCGGAAACGGGCGCUAAUCCCGCAUACGUCCUGAGGGAGAAAGUGGGGGAUCUUCGGACCUCACGCUAUCAGAUGAGCCUAGGUCGGAUUAGCUAGUUGGUGGGGUAAAGGCCUACCAAGGCGACGAUCCGUAACUGGUCUGAGAGGAUGAUCAGUCACACUGGAACUGAGACACGGUCCAGACUCCUACGGGAGGCAGCAGUGGGGAAUAUUGGACAAUGGGCGAAAGCCUGAUCCAGCCAUGCCGCGUGUGUGAAGAAGGUCUUCGGAUUGUAAAGCACUUUAAGUUGGGAGGAAGGGCAGUAAGUUAAUACCUUGCUGUUUUGACGUUACCAACAGAAUAAGCACCGGCUAACUUCGUG